GUGGUUGUAGCUCAGUCGGUUAGAGAGCCUGUCUGUGGAACAGGAGGACGAGGGUUCGAGUCCCUUCAGCCACCCCA
Molecule: transfer RNA, 77 nt
Filed under: Chloroflexota bacterium
Lineage: Bacteria; Bacillati; Chloroflexota
Description: tRNA-His
Rfam family: tRNA
About the family: Transfer RNA (tRNA) molecules are approximately 80 nucleotides in length.
Source: RNAcentral